Long non-coding RNA from Agrilus planipennis (emerald ash borer), 316 nucleotides. RefSeq lists it as uncharacterized. The transcript has 3 exons. Lineage: Eukaryota; Metazoa; Arthropoda; Insecta; Coleoptera; Buprestidae. The record is from RefSeq and is a predicted model, not a curated record.
AAUUUGUCUGAAAAAUCUGCUACUACGUAACGGUGCCUGAAAUAAGUUAAACAUUACUUUGAUAAUAAUUGGUAUAGCAUGCGAAAGAUCAAUAAAUGCAUAAAAUGAAUUUAUAUUCACUAUUAGAUGGUAUAACAAAUCAAGUUUGUUCUGCAAGUAAUAAAAAGGAACAAAAGAAAGUGCAGUCAUAAGCGUUUAACAAGUCGAGAAAUAACAUUCGAUGCGUGGAAUCAUAUAACCAAUAUAUUCCCACAAACAUACGUGUAAUAAUCUGCAGACUUAUUAUUUCUUACCAAAUAUUUGAAAUCCAUAUAUC